AUGCGUAUCUGGAACGACACUUUCGGCACGUGCAUGAAACCCUCAUUUCACAGAGCACGGUUCAAAUGAAUAUUCAAGCCAUGAACUUUUCUUUCAAAUGCAAUCAUAAAUGUUCGCGUUAUAUAUCAUUUCAUGGUGGUGUUCCGACUAUGCUCACUGCUUAACGAAUAGAAGUGUUAUAUGCCAAUUGAGAGAGCUAGCACUGAUCUUGUUAUUGACGUUGUACAAUGUUAUGUUUUUGAAAACCAGUCGAGUUAAUUAAUUAAUACCAUUUCGAUGAGGUCAAAGCGCCGGGGAUCUAAACUUUAUUGUCUUUAAAGCUGUAGCACUGUUCCCAACUUGAACAUCAUCUUCUGUGUACAUACCUGAGGCAGAGCCAGCUUGCCCAUCUGACAUCUGCUGUUGACAACCGAGUCAGAGCCAGCUUGCACGUCAUCUGUUGUGGACAUCGGUGUUAGAGCCAGCUUGCACGUCCUCUAUUGUGGACAUCGAUGUUAGUGCUAGCUUGCACGUCAUCUGUUGUGAACAUCCGUGUAAGAGCCAGCUUGCACGUCAUCUCUUUUUGACAUCAGUAUUAGAGCCAGCUUGUACAUCCUCUGUUGUGGACAUCCGUGUAAGUGCUAGCUUGCACGUAAUCUGUUGUGGACAUCUGUGUUAGAGCCAGCUUGCACGUCAUAUGUUUAGGACAUCAGUCAGAGAUAGCUUGCAUGUUAUUUACUUGUGGACAUUAGUCAGAGCCAGCAAGGACAUUCUCUGUUGUGGAUAUCUGUCUUAGAGCUUGCACGUCAUCGGUUGUUCACAUCCUUUUAAUAACCAGCUUGCACAUCAACUGAUGUGGAAAUCUGAGUCAGAGCCAGCUUGCACAUCAUCCGUUGUGGACAUCUCUUUAUGAUUCUACUCUUUGCUUAGAUUGACACUGUGACUUUAGUGUAAUACGUUACAACCUUAAGCUAUUCCUAUUGUUGAAUAAAAAUAUUGUGUCAUUAAAAUAUAUUUUGUUGGAUAAUUUGUAUGUUGAGUUGUAUUGUUUGGUCAUUGCAAAGUAUCAAGUUAUUUUAAGACAAGAAAAAGCUCAUCUUUCAUCAUGUAUUUAUAUUAAAAUUCUUGAAUGUUAGUGAAGGUACAGUUCAUAUAAUUAAAAGCAAUUGUAAUAUGAUUGCUUGUGUUUUAUUGCACAGUGAAUACCAUCUUGUCUUUAUGCUGACAUAUAGAACGGAGAAAUAGUAAACUGUCGUUUUUAUAUGCAAUGGGAGUGUAUAUCAAGACUUGUGUGUUCAGAUGAAAAAAUUGCCAUAAUUUUUCUCUUUAUAUUUUAUUCCUGCUAAAUGGUUGAUGCAAUAAAGUUAAGUCUUUAA
Molecule: long non-coding RNA, 1355 nt
Organism: Dreissena polymorpha
Lineage: Eukaryota; Metazoa; Mollusca; Bivalvia; Myida; Dreissenidae
Exons: 2
Source: RefSeq, a predicted model, not a curated record